This 465-nucleotide ribosomal RNA is filed under the name uncultured bacterium. RNAcentral describes it as "partial 16S ribosomal RNA". It matches the Rfam family "Bacterial small subunit ribosomal RNA", at positions 338 to 795 of the family's 1533-position model. The record is from RNAcentral.
CCUACGGGGGGCAGCAGUGGGGAAUAUUGCGCAAUGGGCGAAAGCCUGACGCAGCGACGCCGCGUGAGGGAUGAAGGUCUUCGGAUCGUAAACCUCUGUCAGCAGGGAAGAACGGUCACUGUGCUAAUCAGCAGUGAAUUGACGGUACCUGCAAAGGAAGCACCGGCUAACUCCGUGCCAGCAGCCUCGGUAAUACGGAGGGUGCGAGCGGUAAUCGGAAUUACUGGGCGUAAAGCGCUCGUAGGCGGUAGGUCAAGUCAAGGGUGAAAUCCCCGCGCUCAACGUGGGAACUGCCUUUGAAACUGGCAAACUGGAGUGUGUGAGAGGAUAGUGGAAUUCCAGGUGUAGGAGUGAAAGCCGUAGAUAUCUGGAGGAACAUCAGUGGCGAAGGCGACUAUCUGGCACAUAACUGACGCUGAGGAGCGAAAGCGUGGGUAGCAAACAGGAUUAGAUACCCGAGUAGUC